This 250-nucleotide ribosomal RNA is filed under the name uncultured Gardnerella sp. RNAcentral describes it as "partial 16S ribosomal RNA". It matches the Rfam family "Bacterial small subunit ribosomal RNA", at positions 106 to 355 of the family's 1533-position model. Lineage: Bacteria; Bacillati; Actinomycetota; Actinomycetes; Bifidobacteriales; Bifidobacteriaceae. The record is from RNAcentral.
CGGAGUAAUGCGUGACCAACCUGCCCCAUGCUCCAGAAUAGCUCUUGGAAACGGGUGAUAAUGCUGGAUGCUCCAACUUGACGCAUGUCUUGUUGGGAAAGUGUUUAGUGGCAUGGGAUGGGGGUCGCGUCCUAUCAGCUUGUAGGCGGGGUAAUGGCCCACCUAGGCUUCGACGGGUAGCCGGCCUGAGAGGGCGGACGGCCACAUUGGGACUGAGAUACGGCCCAGACUCCUACGGGAGGCAGCAGCU